GAAAUGCGAUAAGUAAUGUGAAUUGCAGAAUUCAGUGAAUCAUCGAAUCUUUGAACGCACCUUGCGCCCCUUGGUAUUCCGAGGGGCACACCUGUUUGAGUGUCGUGAAAUUCUCAACUCAAAUACCUUUGCUGGUGUUUGAGCUUGGAUUUGGGGGUUUUGCUGGCUUGUGUCGGCUCCCCUUGAAUGUAUUAGCUCGGACCCUUGCGGAUCAGCUAUCGGUGUGAUAAUUGUCUACGCCGUGGUUGUGAUGCCACCUUUUAGGUGUUGAGGGAUCGGCUUCCAAUCGUCCCUUGGGACAAUUAUUUUGAAAUCUGACCUCAAAUCAGGUGGGACUACCCGCUGAACUUAA
Molecule: unclassified non-coding RNA, 352 nt
Filed under: uncultured Polyporales
Lineage: Eukaryota; Fungi; Basidiomycota; Agaricomycetes; Polyporales
Description: sequence contains ITS1
Rfam family: 5.8S ribosomal RNA (bases 1-105)
Source: RNAcentral